CACGGGGAGGUAGUGACAAAAAAUAACGAUACGGGACUCAUCCGAGGCCCCGUAAUCGGAAUGAGAACACCCUAAAUCCUUUAACGAGGAUCUAUUGGAGGGCAAGUCUGGUGCCAGCAGCCGCGGUAAUUCCAGCUCCAAUAGCGUAUAUUAAAGUUGUUGCGGUUAAAAAGCUCGUAGUUGGUUCUGCGUGCCACGCUGUCGGUUCACCGCCUGUCGGUGCAACUGGCAUGCCGUGGCAUGUCCUGUCGGUGGCUUCACAGGCUUCGCGGCGCGCCCUAUGCGUUUACUCGUGUAGGUAGUUGCGCCGCGUUGUUCUUGUAGGCCGGCUCAAUCCUGCCGCGGUGCUCUUUACCGAGUGUCGAGGUAGGCCGACACUGUUUACUUUGAACAAAUUAGAGUGCUUCAAGCAGGCUCUGAAAGCAGCCUGAAUAGUGGUGCAUGGAAUAAUGGAACAGGACCUUGGUUCUAUUUUGUUGGUUUUAGGAAUCCAAGGUAAUGAUCAAUAAGGACAGGCGGGGGCAUUCGUAUUGCGACGUUAGACUUGGCAAAUGCUUUCGCGGUGAAAUUCUUGGAUCGUCGCAAGACGCACUAGAGCGAAAGCAUUUGCCAAGUAUGUCUUAAUUGAUCAAGAACGAAAGUUAGAGGUUCGAAGGCGAUCAGAUACCGCCCUAGUUCUAACCAUAAACGAUGCCAGCCAGCGAUCCGCCGAUGUUCCUCCGAUGACUCGGCGGGGAGCUUUCCCCGGGAAACCAAAGCUUUUGGGUUCCGGGGGAAGUAUGGUUGCAAAGCUGAAACUUAAAGGAAUUGACGGAAGGGCACCACCAGGAGUGGAGCCUGCGGCUUAAUUUGACUCAACACGGGAAACCUCACCAGGCCCGGACAUUGGAAGGAUUGACAGAUCGAUAGCUCUUUCUCGAUUCAGUGGGUAGUGGUGCAUGGCCGUUCUUAGUUGGUGGACUGAUUUGUCUGGUUAAUUCCGAUAACGAACGAGACUCUGACCUAUUAACUAGGCGCUCCCGGUAUACAUACCUG
RNAcentral lists this ribosomal RNA (1035 nucleotides) under Anischys luteovarius. RNAcentral's name for it is "SSU rRNA". It matches the Rfam family "Eukaryotic small subunit ribosomal RNA", at positions 455 to 1380 of the family's 1831-position model. Lineage: Eukaryota; Metazoa; Arthropoda; Insecta; Hemiptera; Acanthosomatidae. The record is from RNAcentral.